GAUUUCAGCUUAUCAUUGUGACCCACACCACUUUGGCAGCUCCCUGUAUUUUGUGACCGAAAUGAGCGCCUUCUCGUCCGUCCUCGGUUCGCCAGGUGCGACUGGAGAUGUCAAGUACGUAAAGAAGAAGCUCAUUGGUACCGGCUCGUACGGUGAGGCCUGGCUGGUGGAGCGGGUUAGCGACAAGGCGAUCUUCGUUGCGAAAACAAUGGACCUCGGGAAGAUGUCAUCGCGUGAUCGUACGUACGCGUACAGCGAAAUCAAGUGUCUUGCGAGCUGCCGCCAUCCAAACAUCAUCAAGUACAUCGAAGACAAGGAAGAUAAUGAGCAUUUGCUCAUUGUAAUGGAGUUCGCCGACUCGGGUGACCUUGACCGCCAGAUCAAGGCGCGUGCGACCGACUUCAAGCACUUCCAAGAGCACGAGGCACUUUUCCUUUUUCUGCAGCUGUGUCUUGCGUUAGACCACAUCCACGGCCACAAGAUGUUGCAUCGUGACAUCAAGGGAGCCAAUGUACUCCUUACCUCAACCGGGCUGAUCAAGAUUGGCGACUUCGGGUUCAGUCACCAGUAUGAUGACACCGUGUCCGGAGUCGUGGCAAACACGUUUUGUGGCACACCGUACUACCUUGCGCCGGAGCUGUGGAACAACCAACGCUACAGCAAAAAGGCAGACGUGUGGUCACUGGGUGUUCUACUGUACGAAAUCAUGGCGCUGAAGCGCCCAUUUACCUCCACCAACAUGAAGGGUCUCAUGGCCAAAGUGCUUAGUGGAGACUACGAGCCGCUCCCCGAGGUGUACUCGGCCGACUUUAGGGAUGUGGUCCGCAAGAUCCUUGUCUGUGAUGCGGCGCAGCGGCCGAGCGUGCGGGACAUUUUCCGGUUCCCCUACGUGCGGGAGGGUCUGAAGGUGUUUAUGCAUACUAUGAAGAAGAAUUCGCGAAUUGACAACGAGGUAAAGGACGCACUGAUGGAGCACGUAACGGAGAUCCUGUCUAGCGAGUCUGUCGAGGUGCCCAAGAGCACCCCUGUCGGUCAGAUCAACAAGGAUGUCUUUUUCUCCGGGUACCUGAACAAGCUGAAGGGCGGCGACAACCACUCAUGGAAGAGGCGGUACCUUCAGGUGCAGAAGGGUCAUUUCAUUAUGUCUGACAAGGAGUCCGACACCGAGGGAAAGGCACUGAGCCUGGAGCACAUUCAGAGUGUGUGCCCGGUCCCUGUGAGUACGGCGAAGCGCGAGCACGUCUUCGCGCUUCACACGACGAGUGGCAAGUCGAUGUGGUUUGAAGCCGCGUCGCUAGAGAACAUGGAGGAGUGGAUUCACGCGAUCCAGUGCGGCCUUGGUGUUGCGUGACGGUGCAGGGGGACAACGAGGGCUGUUUGUUUUUUUUUUCUUUUUGGCGCGAUGUGCUCGGCGCAUACACCAUCCUCUGGCGAAUGCUGGGCUACAGGGUUGUACAGCCAUCACGAUCUCACUGCUGACGACGUGCGAAGCUUUUUUUUUGUUCUCUUUGCCCUGUACUGGUUACCGUUUGCUUCUCCUGUGAACUGCCUCACGCGCCGACGGCUCUCGUAUCUCUCUUACAGAACUGUGUUGGUGGUGAUGAGGUCUGGCAUGUAAAGAUUGGCUGAUGAGUUGCAAAUGUGGACGAGUGAGAAAAGGGAAGGUGGAGGGUUACUGUGGCAUCCAGAUGUUAUACAUCAGGUGCGACUCAGACGGUUUGAUUUCUGGCUCCUUUUCUCUGGUCUUAUAUCCGUAUAUCUGUAUAGUGGUGCUUCGAAUGGCGUGAAUCGAGACCUCUGAAUGAAUUGUCGUGGCGACGCAUUGCGCAAAAUCGACCGUGCACAUGAAAGAACCUGUUUGCUGCAUGCGCGGCGGAUAAUGGCGCUAGGGGGGGGUUUUCUGCCCGCAGCAACUCAGCGCUGUACAGGUGUCUGCUAAUUGCUCUCGUUCUAGCGGCUGCACACACAACCCACUCGGAUAUGAGCA
RNAcentral lists this unclassified non-coding RNA (1987 nucleotides) under Leishmania donovani. RNAcentral's name for it is "gene:LdHU3.31.5560(CDS-product:protein_kinase_put ative)". The record is from RNAcentral. Lineage: Eukaryota; Euglenozoa; Kinetoplastea; Trypanosomatida; Trypanosomatidae.